RNAcentral lists this ribosomal RNA (202 nucleotides) under uncultured bacterium. RNAcentral's name for it is "partial 16S ribosomal RNA". It matches the Rfam family "Bacterial small subunit ribosomal RNA", at positions 335 to 528 of the family's 1533-position model. The record is from RNAcentral.
AUCGUACGGGAGGCAGCAGUAGGGAAUCUUCGGCAAGUGGGGGGAACCCUGACCGAGCAACGCCGCGUGAGUGAAGAAGGUUUUCGGAUCGUAAAGCUCUGUUGUUAAGGAAGAACGAGUGUGAGAAUGGAAAGUUCAUACUGUGACGGUACUUAACCAGAAAGGGACGGCUAACUACGUGCCAGCAGCCGCGGUAAUCGAU